AUUGAACGCUGGCGGCAGGCCUAACACAUGCAAGUCGAACGGUAACAGAAAGCAGCUUGCUGCUUUGCUGACGAGUGGCGGACGGGUGAGUAAUGUCUGGGAAACUGCCUGAUGGAGGGGGAUAACUACUGGAAACGGUAGCUAAUACCGCAUAACGUCGCAAGACCAAAGAGGGGGACCUUCGGGCCUCUUGCCAUCGGAUGUGCCCAGAUGGGAUUAGCUAGUAGGUGGGGUAACGGCUCACCUAGGCGACGAUCCCUAGCUGGUCUGAGAGGAUGACCAGCCACACUGUAACUGAGACACGGUCCAGACUCCUACGGGAGGCAGCAGUGGGGAAUAUUGCACAAUGGGCGCAAGCCUGAUGCAGCCAUGCCGCGUGUAUGAAGAAGGCCUUCGGGUUGUAAAGUACUUUCAGCGGGGAGGAAGGGAGUAAAGUUAAUACCUUUGCUCAUUGACGUUACCCGCAGAAGAAGCACCGGCUAACUCCGUG
Molecule: ribosomal RNA, 490 nt
Filed under: uncultured bacterium
Lineage: Bacteria
Description: partial 16S ribosomal RNA
Rfam family: Bacterial small subunit ribosomal RNA
Source: RNAcentral